RNAcentral lists this transfer RNA (66 nucleotides) under Chorthippus fallax. RNAcentral describes it as "tRNA-Ile". Lineage: Eukaryota; Metazoa; Arthropoda; Insecta; Orthoptera; Acrididae. The record is from RNAcentral.
AAUGAGGUGCCUGAAUAAAGGGUUAUCUUGAUAGGAUAAAUAAAGUAACCAAUAUUACCCUCAUUA